CCUCUUCGGUGUUCGGCGCCUCGUGUGUCCCGUCUCGGCGCCCCGUCGCGUUUGCGUUUCUCCCCCUUUCGUUUCAAUCGUUCUUUCUUCUCCGCUUGGUUCGAUUCGUUUUGUGGCGCCGCAUUUGCCCUUACGUGCUCGCAGAUUCCUGGGUCGAUCGCGCCCGCCUCCUUGCGACGCGGGGACCGACUCUGAGUUAAUUUGGUCGACGAUUUUCGUUUGGUGUUCGCCUUCUCGGCGUGUGGGUUGCAGGAUUAGAUCCCAAUUGGGUGUUGGAGUUCGUCGCCAUGGCCUCGCUUGGCAAGGGAUCAGACUCUGGAGGUUGCGGCAGGUCAGUCUCUCACCAGAUCAGGCAGUUCCAUUUGUUUUGUCACUGGGAUCCGGAGGUUUCAGACUCGACUAGUCCCCACACGUGAUCUUCUCAUCCAUGCUGAAUCAUCGGUUAUUACUCUGCACAUGAGGUAGGCUCGAGGCCCUGGUUAAUUUCUGACCGUAACCGCUUAUCUCGGUUUUGGUAUGUGUACGCAUGUCGUCCUUCACAUGCACAAGGAAUCUCGAUUACUGGUCAAGGAGCAAUACUGAAGGGUGGAGGUUUGCCUAUCAUUGAUUGGUUCCAGUUUGUUUUGAAACGACGGUGGUAUGUGAAGUGUGUGCUGCAAAUAAUUAGAAACUCGAUCAUCCUGAUUGGAAAUUGUUACUGAAUCAACAGGCGUGGAGGUUUACAUUGUUACGGUUAUCGGAAUGGAAUUGUCUAGACCAGGGUUCAUAGCAUAAGCAGAGCAAGACUGUUUGGAUAUCUCAAUCAUUUAAUUUAUUGGUAAUUGGUAUGCACAGUCUAGUUUAUGAUCACUGCAAUCUUGAUUUGGAUUAACCAGUAGGGGGGCACCCCGCCUGUUUCAUCAAAAACAAUUGAUUUAGAUUGGUUGUUCUUCUCCAGCUAUUUUGUUACACAGGUUGCUGAUUGCGAUGAGUGAGUCUGCUGUCUUACAGACAAAGGCCUCGCUACCUUUGGUGUGUCUGCAGUUGGGAGGAGACUUACUUUGCUGUCAUAUUAAGUUAUCUCUCUCUAUAUAAAUCUGUAACUAUGUUGAAAUUCGGACAUUCUGAUUAAUCAGCAGUGGUAGAAGAUACCAGCAUAUUUUGGAGCUUCAAUCCAAGACAGAUGAGGAAUUUUCUAACUGAAAAAACUUAGGUGCUGCCCUAUUAAACUUUUUGACACUCAAUUCAACUCUUUUCAAGUCGCAGAUCUUUUAGCUCAUCUGACCAGUACUCUGGUAGUGUGUCCGGUUGGGUGUUGUGAUGUCUGGUUUGGGGCAUCUAUCUGCAUGGUUUGAUUUGCUUCAUCUAAUUUCUGUCUAUAUUUUGUGCUCGCCCUCUCUGCAUAUUGAUUGCAGAAUUAGUAUGACAUUGGAAGUAUCUAUAGCAGAAAAAUGACACCUAAUAAUUGGGAGAAGGUCCAGCGCCUAGUCGAUGAUACAUUGGUUUGAUUAACUGCAUUUGGUGAUUCCAGGUCUGAAUGGUUAGUUGUGCAUUAUUUUGGCUCGCUCUCUAAUGAACAAAAAUGAUCUUAUGAUCCCAUAA
Setaria italica (foxtail millet) is the source of this 1581-nucleotide long non-coding RNA. RefSeq lists it as uncharacterized. The record is from RefSeq and is a predicted model, not a curated record. Lineage: Eukaryota; Viridiplantae; Streptophyta; Magnoliopsida; Poales; Poaceae. The transcript is spliced from 2 exons.